Xenopus laevis (African clawed frog) is the source of this 223-nucleotide non-coding RNA. Lineage: Eukaryota; Metazoa; Chordata; Amphibia; Anura; Pipidae. The record is from Rfam.
CCAAUGUGGAUAUCCUUAGAGGUCUCUCUUGGGCUCUGUCCAGGUGGCGUAUGGGAGCAUAUAGCACCUUAAAGGUGCAGUGACGUAUAAUCCCCUUCCACAACAUUGGAGAACAAGCAUGUCCCCAGCCAUUAGGCUGGUGUGGGCAGCAUCCUGUAUAUUCCUAAAACUUCCCAGAGCCCUUGGGCAAUAUCUGGGGAGACAAACCAUGCAGGAUACAUUU